Molecule: RNA transcript, 904 nt
Organism: Mus musculus (house mouse)
Lineage: Eukaryota; Metazoa; Chordata; Mammalia; Rodentia; Muridae
Gene: Ppp1r2-ps9
Gene name: protein phosphatase 1, regulatory (inhibitor) subunit 2, pseudogene 9
Exons: 1
Source: RefSeq, marked validated
AAAGUUCUGAGAACUUGUCCGCCAGACAGAUCUAGCUCCUGCUUGAGUCCGGAGCGUGGACAAGUGGCUGUGUCGGCCCAAUUCUAGCUUGGCCCUCAGUUUCCCUGUCAUGGCAGCCUCCUCCACCUCACACAGACCCAUCAAGGGGAUACUCAAAAACAAAAGUUCAUCAUCUUCAAUGGAGGAUUCUUCCGAGUCAUCUGGAAGACCAGGCACCCAGGAGUUGCAACGGAAGAAAUCGCAGAAGUGGGAUGAAUCCAACAUACUAGCAACCCACUAUCCAUCCUACAAAGACUAUGAUCUGAGGAAGAAGAAUGAGCCCGGCAAUCCCUUUGGCAGCGUGCCACAUGAUGGAGAAGACACCUUAAGUGAAAUUCAAGGAAAAGACGCCAUGACCUCUGACACCUUAGCGAAGAAACUCGCAGCCCCUGACACUUUGGGAACCAGUUAUCAGGGUGAGGAGCAAGAAAGCAGCGGUGCGCAUAGCAGCAAAUUCUUCCUGGACAAACAAGAAAGGCAACGGCAAUUUGAGUUGAAAAGGAAGUUACACUACAACGAAGGAUUAAACAUCAAAUUGGCCAGACAACUGAUAUCGGAGGAGCUACAAUCUGAAGUAGAGGAAGAUGAAAACCAACCAUGUCUACAUUCAAAUUAUUGAAGAAAAGACUACUACAGAAGAAGCUCCGACAAUUGAACAUCUAGAAAUUUACCAUCAAACACAUAUAAGAUCUGCUGUUGCCGCUGCCUUUGCCUCUGUUUUUGUCUAUACCACCACUGCUUCUUGCUUCUUAGAACCCAUGGCCUUAGUGUGACUCUACUUGUCCAUUUAACUGUUUAACAGUGUUUACUGGUCGUGCAGGAAUUAAAUGGUAAUCUUAGAAAAUAUUGAAUUGGCUUAAACACC